RNAcentral lists this ribosomal RNA (426 nucleotides) under uncultured Sorangium sp. RNAcentral describes it as "bacterial SSU rRNA". It matches the Rfam family "Bacterial small subunit ribosomal RNA", at positions 353 to 772 of the family's 1533-position model. Lineage: Bacteria; Pseudomonadati; Myxococcota; Polyangiales; Polyangiaceae. The record is from RNAcentral.
AGUGGGGAAUCUUGCGCAAUGGGCGAAAGCCUGACGCAGCGACGCCGCGUGAGUGAUGAAGGCCUUCGGGUUGUAAAGCUCUGUGGGGAGAGACGAAUAGGUAGAAGCUAAUACCUUCUAUGAUGACGGUAUCUCCUUAGCAAGCACCGGCUAACUCUGUGCCAGCAGCCGCGGUAAGACAGAGGGUGCAAACGUUGUUCGGAAUUACUGGGCGUAAAGCGAGUGUAGGCGGUCCGCUAAGUCGGGUGUGAAAGCCCUGGGCUCAACCCAGGAAGUGCACUCGAAACUGGCGGGCUAGAGUAUCGGAGAGGUUGGUGGAAUUCUCGGUGUAGAGGUGAAAUUCGUAGAUAUCGAGAGGAACACCGGUGGCGAAGGCGGCCAACUGGACGAAUACUGACGCUGAGACUCGAAAGCGUGGGGAGCAAA